This 376-nucleotide ribosomal RNA is filed under the name uncultured bacterium. Its description in RNAcentral is "bacterial SSU rRNA". It matches the Rfam family "Bacterial small subunit ribosomal RNA", at positions 524 to 898 of the family's 1533-position model. The record is from RNAcentral.
UACGUAGGUGGCAAGCGUUGUCCGGAUUUACUGGGCGUAAAGAAUGCGUAGGCGGAUAUUUAAGUCAGAUGUGAAAUCCCCGGGCUUAACUCGGGGGCUGCAUUUGAAACUGGAUAUCUAGAGUGCGGGAGAGGUAAGUGGAAUUCCUAGUGUAGCGGUGAAAUGCGUAGAGAUUAGGAAGAACACCAGUGGCGAAGGCGACUUACUGGACCGUAACUGACGCUGAGGCAUGAAAGCGUGGGGAGCAAACAGGAUUAGAUACCCUGGUAGUCCACGCCGUAAACGAUGGGUACUAGGUGUAGGAGGUAUCGACUCCUUCUGUGCCGCAGUUAACACAAUAAGUACCCCGCCUGGGGAGUACGGUCGCAAGAUUAAA